RNAcentral lists this ribosomal RNA (800 nucleotides) under Cheilonereis cyclurus. RNAcentral's name for it is "small subunit ribosomal RNA". Lineage: Eukaryota; Metazoa; Annelida; Polychaeta; Phyllodocida; Nereididae. The record is from RNAcentral.
UAUACAACAUAGUUUGAUUUUAACUACCAGUUUGAUUUUAACAGAAUAUAAUACAUGCAACCCACAAGACACCCGUGCAAUUUAUAAAUUAACCUUAAAGCCUUAGACCUAAAUAAGAAUAUCUAAAACUUACCCGCACGCCUGCAGUAAAGAAUAUUGCGACAAAUACAACAUAUGCUCCAAAUACUGUUCCAUGUACUGACUAAAUUCGUGCCAGCCGUCGCGGUUAAACGAUAAGUACAAACCAAACCCUACGGGCAACGUACUGAUAAAACUUAAAAAUUUAUAGUGGUAUAAUAUACACAAUUCAACUCAUUUAUUUUAUAUCAACAUAUUAAACGAAAGAAUAAACAAAAACAAGGAUUAGAUACCCUUUUAUUUUACUCAAUAAAACUACGUCCUGGGCAUUACGAACACACGUUUAAAACCCAAAAACUUUGGCGGCAUUUUACGUAAUUAGGGGAAUCUGUCAUUUAACUCGAUAACCCACGCUAAACCCCACUACCAUUUGCAAUUCAGCUUGUGUACUGCCGUCGAAAGCUAACACACCUAAGUAGUUAGCUCCCCAGUAAUCACUAUUACGUCAGGUCAAAAUGCAGCUAAUAUGGUAAAACCGAUGGAUUACAAUAAAAAUAUAACAAGAAAGCUCAAUGACCCAAUGCUUAAAUACGGACUUAAAAGUAAAUAUGUUAUAGUAUACCAUAUUGAAAUACAAUCUGAAAUGUGCACACAUCGCCCGUCACUCUCACCGAAAGGCGAGAUAAGUCGUAACAUAGUAGGCGUAACUGAAGUUGUGCCUU